CAGUAGCCGCGGGAAUACGUAGGGUGCAAGCGUUAAUCGGAAUUACUGGGCGUAAAGCGUGCUCAGGCGGUUUUGUAAGACAGAGGUGAAAUCCCCGGGCUCAACCUGGGAACUGCCUUUGUGACUGCAAGGCUAGAGUACGGCAGAGGGGGAUGGAAUUCCGCGUGUAGCAGUGAAAUGCGUAGAUAUGCGGAGGAACACCGAUGGCGAAGGCAAUCCCCUGGGCCUGUACUGACGCUGAGGUACGAAAGCAUGGGGAGCAAACAGGAUUAGAUACCCGGGUAGUCCCUGUCUCUUAUAC
This 301-nucleotide ribosomal RNA is filed under the name uncultured bacterium. RNAcentral's name for it is "partial 16S ribosomal RNA". It matches the Rfam family "Bacterial small subunit ribosomal RNA", at positions 509 to 807 of the family's 1533-position model. The record is from RNAcentral.